CUACAACUCCCAGCGUGCCCCGCGCCCGGCAGGGAAAAGGCGGGAAAAACGUGAGGGAGGCGGUGGGCAGAAUGCCCCGAGGUGGAAAAUCAGAUAACGCCGGGAUGGGGAAACGCAGGAGCCGCCCAAUCCCAGGCGACAGGAAAUUCCACGCUCCCAAAGCCAAGCGGAUCCUUCAGGAAGCACCUGGAGCUGAUCCCCAUGGAGAUCCUGCUGGGAUGGAUCCCAAGAUCCCAGCAGAGGAAAAACUCCCCAAAGUGAGGUUUUUAAUGUGAUUUUACAGGAAGGGAGAGAUGAGGAAAUUGGAGGCGGCAGAGCACUGGGAUCACCAAAACAGGGCAUUUCCGAUGGGGUGCAAGAGAAUCGUGUGGAAUUGCCCCAGCUGGGAAUUUUGGAAGUGGAUGGGGCAAGAGAGGAUGAGCUGGAGUCACCAAAACCGGGAAUUUUGGAUGGGGCAGGAGAGAAUUGUGGAGAAUCACCAAAACGGCAGUUUUGGAGGUGGGUGUGGCAGGAGAGGAGCAGCUGGAGUCACUGAAAAUGGAAUUCUGGAUGGAAUGGGGCAGAACCAUCUGGAAUCACCUCAGCUGGGAAUCUUGGAGGGGGGAUGGAGCAGGAGAAGAGCAGUUGGAGUCACUAAAAAUGGGAAUUUGGAUGGAACAGGAGAGGAUCGGCGCGGAAUUACCAAAACCAGAGAUUUUGGAUGGAACAGGAGAGGAUCGGCCGGAAUCACCAAAACCAGAGAUUAUGGAGGGUGGAUGGGGCAGGAGAGGAGCAGCUGGAGUCACUCAAAGUGGGAAUUUUGGAUGGAACAGCAGAGGAUCAGCUGGAAACACCAACACUAGAGAUUUUAGAGGUGGAUGGAGAGAAGCAUCCAGAGCCAGUGAAACAGGAAUUCCAGAGGCAAAUGGGGCAGGAGAGGAGCAUCUGGAGCCAGUGAAAAUGGGAAUUUUAGAUGGAAUAGGAGAGGAGAAGCUGGAGUCACUGGAAAUUGGAAUUUUGGAUGGAACAGGAAACGAUCCGCUGGAAUUACCAAAACCAGGAAUUCCAGAGGCAAAUGGGGCAGGAGAGGAGCAGUUGGAGCCAGUCAAAAUGGGAAUUUUGGAUGGAACAGGAGAGGAGAAACUGGAAUCACCAAAACCAGGAAUUCCAGAGGCAGAUGGGGCAGGAGAGGAGCAGCCAGAGCCAAACUGGGAAAUUCUCAGCCUGGGAAUUUUGGGUGGAACAGGAGAGAACGAGCUGGAAUCACCAAAACCAGGAAUUUUGGAGGUGGAUGGAGAGAAGCAUCCAGAGCCAGUGAAACCAGGAAUUCCAGAGGCGGAUGGGGCAGGAGAGGAGCAGCCGGAUCCAAACUGGGAAAUUCCCAAACUGGGAAUUUUGGGUGGAACAGGAGACAAUGAGCUGGAAUCACCAAAACCAGGAAUUCCAGAGGCAGGUGGAGCAGCAGAGGAGCAGCCAGAGCCAAACUGGGAAAUUCCCAAACUGGGAAUUUUGGGUGGAAUGGGAGAGAACGAGCUGGAAUCACAAGACCAGGAAUUCCAGAGGCGGAUGGGGUAGGAGAGGAGCAGCCAGAGCCAAACUGGGAAACUCCCAAACUGGGAAUUUUGGGUGGAACGGGAGAGAACGAGCUGGAACCAGCAGAACCGGGGGGUUCUGGCGCCCAUGAGGACACGGCGAUGGACACGGCCCCCGAGGGAAGCCUGGAGGUGACGGAUGCAGCGGGAGAGGGGCCCGAAGGUGCCCUGCAGGAGGGAUGUGGCACUGGCAUCGCCCUGGGGACGGACACGGGGUCACCAGGUGGUCCCCGAGGUGCCCAGAGCGGUGGAGGGGACGCGGGGAGCAGGAAUUGCCAGGGUGGCAGUGCCAGGGUGGCCACAGCAGGGUCAGAUCCAGCAGCCACCGGCACCGAGCCCCAGGAGCAGCGGGAAGGG
Passer domesticus (house sparrow) is the source of this 1928-nucleotide long non-coding RNA. RefSeq lists it as uncharacterized. The record is from RefSeq and is a predicted model, not a curated record. The transcript is spliced from 3 exons. Lineage: Eukaryota; Metazoa; Chordata; Aves; Passeriformes; Passeridae.